Molecule: long non-coding RNA, 200 nt
Filed under: Elaeis guineensis (African oil palm)
Lineage: Eukaryota; Viridiplantae; Streptophyta; Magnoliopsida; Arecales; Arecaceae
Description: long non-coding RNA (EGUI_LNC068821)
Source: RNAcentral
CCCGAAUGCCAUGGGAAAAGAUCUAAGGAUAUCCAUCCCCCAUUGUGCAAACGGCAAUGGGGCACUCAAGGGUCUAAGUAUGGAGGUGGGCUAUCUUUGGAUAUUCGUAUAUCUUUGACACCGAUCACACCUUCUGACAUAGUCAAUGGAGUCAUGGUAUAUUGUAGGUCAGUAAUAACCUUGUUGAAGCAGUUUGUGGG